This 253-nucleotide ribosomal RNA is filed under the name uncultured bacterium. RNAcentral describes it as "partial 16S ribosomal RNA". It matches the Rfam family "Bacterial small subunit ribosomal RNA", at positions 524 to 776 of the family's 1533-position model. The record is from RNAcentral.
UACGGGGGGGGCAAGCGUUGUUCGGAAUUACUGGGCGUAAAGGGCUCGUAGGCGGCCAACUAAGUCCGACGUGAAAUCCCAAGGCUUAACCUUGGAACUGCGUCGGAUACUGGAUGGCUUGAAUUCGGGAGAGGGAUGCAGAAUUCCAGGUGUAGCGGUGAAAUGCGUAGAUAUCUGGAGGAAUACCGGGGGCGAAGGCGGCAUCCUGGACCGACAUUGACGCUGAUGAGCGAAAGCUAGGGGAGCAAACGGG